Molecule: ribosomal RNA, 467 nt
Filed under: uncultured bacterium
Lineage: Bacteria
Description: partial 16S ribosomal RNA
Rfam family: Bacterial small subunit ribosomal RNA
Source: RNAcentral
UCCUAACUCUUUCUUCGUGCUUAACACAUGCAAGUCGAACGGAAAGGCUCCAGCUUGCUGGAGUACUCGAGUGGCGAACGGGUGAGUAACACGUGGGUAAUCUGCCCUGCACUCUGGGAUAAGCCUGGGAAACUGGGUCUAAUACUGGAUAUGACCUUUCUCCUUAUGGGGUUUGGUGGAAAGUUUUUCGGUGUAGGAUGAGCCCGCAGCCUAUCAGCUUGUUGGUGGGGUGAUGGCCUACCAAGGCGACGACGGGUAGCCGGCCUGAGAGGGUGAUCGGCCACAUUGGGACUGAGAUACGGCCCAGACUCCUACGGGAGGCAGCAGUGGGGAAUAUUGCACAAUGGGCGGAAGCCUGAUGCAGCGACGCCGCGUGAGGGAUGACGGCCUUCGGGUUGUAAACCUCUUUCAGCAGGGACGAAGCGUAAGUGACGGUACCUGCAGAAGAAGCACCGGCUAACUAUGUG